Molecule: long non-coding RNA, 1020 nt
Organism: Poecilia latipinna (sailfin molly)
Lineage: Eukaryota; Metazoa; Chordata; Actinopteri; Cyprinodontiformes; Poeciliidae
Exons: 3
Source: RefSeq, a predicted model, not a curated record
GUUGGUUCUGCGGCGGACUUCCUGUUUGCCUCAGAUGUAGCCUGGAUGCUAAAAGCAGGUUUAGGUUGUCAUUGCCGAGUCCUGUUUCACUAUUCUCCAGUUUUUGGAAGAAACUGCAGAGAAAAGGAUUGCAGUCAGCACCCAGCCCAGCAGCGCUAACGUCCAUCUCACCUGCACUUGUUCUGGUUCUGAUCCAAACAGUGGGUCCAAACAGCCCCCUCAUGCUGCCUGAGGCUUUGCUGUUAAACUGCUGACAGAUACGACUGCAGUGGAGUAAAAUGUUGCACAGUUACGUUUAUUUAACGUCCAAUGCAGCCAAAAUAAAGCUGUUCUAAGAAGCUGCGCUUAUCGCAGCCCCUCAGGGCGCCUGUGUUAAUCCCCAGGAAAAGAUGACAUCAAAUGGAAGCAGAGCAAAGGAUUAUGGGGGAUGUUGUGGCGCUUGAUCAGCUGCUGAGAACUGGAUGGAGGGGAAGGAAUCCUCCCCAGGUGCGAGCAAACAAACCUGGAAAUGGUAAGAAAAGGGAGAAACACAGAGUCUGAAUUAGAAGAAGGAAGAUGCGUCGCCACCAAACCACCACUUUAACUUUAGUCAGACCAACUCAGGUUAAUGUUUCCUACACCACCAGUUUUCCUUUAGUUACUUAAAUAAUGGAUACUUUAUUUAUUCCAAAAAGAAAUUAAGGUAAGCUUAUCUUCAAAGAGUCGCUUUGUAUGGUGAUGGAAGGGAGCAGAUUGUGUCGCAGCUCAUCUGCAGAGGCUUCUGACUGAAGACAGUCGCUGUGUGACAGUCUCACGACUGUUGAUGCUCCACAGGAACAUCCACCACAGCUGGAAAGUUAUCCUCUUUUCAAAGUUUUGAAAUGUGCCUUUAAACUUUACUGGAUUUAAGUUCAGGUUCUGACUGGGUGGGUCCAGAAGUCAACCUGUUGUUAUCUUGGCUUUAUGCUGAAGUACUUUUAGGGCAUUUUUCCCAGCUGGUAGUCCGGUAGACAUCUGCUCCAGCUGCUGUGGCUCUGAGUC